CAGGUAGAAGAAUGUCUGCGACUAAGCCGAGGGCCACUUGAUAAGGGUUGUUGAUGGUAAAACAGAUUGGAGACUACAUAAGACUUUGACAGAUGGCGGGAAACCCUCAUGAACUGGAUAGAAGCCGGUAGAGGAAUGUCUGCGACUAAGCUGAGGGCCACUGGAUAAGGGUUGUUGAUGGUAAAACAGGUAGAGGAAUGUCUGCGACUAAGCUGAGGGCCACUGGAUAAGGGUUGUUGAUGGUAAAACAGGUAGAGGAAUGUCUGCGACUAAGCUGAGGGCCACUGGAUAAGGGUUGUUGAUGGUAAAACAGAUUGGAGACUACAUAAGACUUUGACAGAUGGCGG
Long non-coding RNA from Dreissena polymorpha, 347 nucleotides. RefSeq lists it as uncharacterized. The transcript has 6 exons. The record is from RefSeq and is a predicted model, not a curated record. Lineage: Eukaryota; Metazoa; Mollusca; Bivalvia; Myida; Dreissenidae.